GCCGGGUGCGGUGGUGUAUGCCUGUAAUCCCAGUUGCUCGGGAGGCUGAGGCAGGAGGAUCACAAGUUCAAACCAGCCUCAG
This 82-nucleotide small RNA is filed under the name Marmota monax (woodchuck). Lineage: Eukaryota; Metazoa; Chordata; Mammalia; Rodentia; Sciuridae. The record is from RNAcentral.